AGCAGCCGCGGUAAUUCCAGCUCCAAUAGCGUAUAUUAAAGUUGUUGCAGUUAAAAAGCUCGUAGUUGAAUUUCGGGGUUAGUAGGUUGGUCAUGCCUCUGGUAUGUACUGGUCUCACUGAUUCCUCCUUCCUGAUGAGCCGUAAUGCCAUUAAUUUGGUGUUGCGGGGAAUUUGGACUGUUACUUUGAAAAAAAUUAGAGUGUUUAAAGCAAGCUAACGCUUGAAUACAUUAGCAUGGAAUAAUGAAAUAGGACGUUCGAUCCUAUUUUGUUGGUCUCUAGGAUUGACGUAAUGAUUAAUAGGGAUAGUUGGGGGCAUUAGUAUUCAAUUGUCAGAGGUGAAAUUCUUGGAUUUAUUGAAGACUAACUACUGCGAAAGCAUUUGCCAAGGAUGUUUUCAUUAAUCAAGAACGAAAGUUAGGGGAUCGAAGACGAUCAGAUACCGUCGUAGUCUUAACCAUAAACUAUGCCGACUAGGGAUCGGGAUGAUGUUUUAAUUUUUAAUAGUACUCAUUCGGCG
This 520-nucleotide ribosomal RNA is filed under the name uncultured Glomus. Its description in RNAcentral is "SSU rRNA". It matches the Rfam family "Eukaryotic small subunit ribosomal RNA", at positions 569 to 1085 of the family's 1831-position model. The record is from RNAcentral. Lineage: Eukaryota; Fungi; Glomeromycota; Glomeromycetes; Glomerales; Glomeraceae.